AUCCGGUGAAUACGUUCCCGGACCUUGUACACACCGCCCGUCAAGCCAUGGAAGCCCGGUGUACCUGAAGACGAUAACCGUAAGGAGUCGUUCAAGGUAAAACGGGUAACUGGGGCU
RNAcentral lists this ribosomal RNA (117 nucleotides) under uncultured bacterium. Its description in RNAcentral is "partial 16S ribosomal RNA". It matches the Rfam family "Bacterial small subunit ribosomal RNA", at positions 1357 to 1482 of the family's 1533-position model. The record is from RNAcentral.